UACAGAGGGUGCGAGCGUUAAUCGGAAUUACUGGGCGUAAAGCGCGCGUAGGCGGCUUUGCAAGUCGGAUGUGAAAUCCCCAGGCUCAACCUGGGAACUGCAUUCGAGACUGCUUUGCUAGAGUAUGGGAGAGGGAAGUGGAAUUUCCGGUGUAGCGGUGAAAUGCGUAGAUAUCAGGAGGAACACCGGUGGCGAAGGCGGAUCUCUGGGCCGAUACUGACGCUGAGGAGCGAAAGCGUGGGGAGCGAACAGG
This 253-nucleotide ribosomal RNA is filed under the name uncultured bacterium. RNAcentral describes it as "partial 16S ribosomal RNA". It matches the Rfam family "Bacterial small subunit ribosomal RNA", at positions 524 to 776 of the family's 1533-position model. The record is from RNAcentral.